UGUCAGAUCUCCUCCUUCAGUGAUGCUCCUCCUCCAGUGAAGCUCCUCCUUCAGUGAAGCUCCUCCCACUGCAGUUCACCAAUAAACGGAAUAUUCCCCUCAGCUACAAGUGAAGACGAGCAUCAAACCAUCAGGAAGAGCUAACACAAACACAGAGUUUAUUGAAGGACACUGAGAACAUGAGAUCCAGAACACUGCAGAAUGAAACAUACUGAAGAACAAAGAGGUUCUGAGUGCCUGACAACUGUGAGCUGAUAACGGGCUGCGCC
Molecule: non-coding RNA, 269 nt
Organism: Pimephales promelas (fathead minnow)
Lineage: Eukaryota; Metazoa; Chordata; Actinopteri; Cypriniformes; Leuciscidae
Source: RefSeq, a predicted model, not a curated record